CAGCACUGGCCUGGAGGACAGAAGGAAGCUGACAUAAAGAGAUUUUUUGACUUAAUAAAAACUCAAAGAGAAGAGAAAAAGCCAAGAAGUCCCCAGGGUGGCCCAUGGCAGCGAGGUUACCAGGGCCUGACUUGCAGUGAUGGCUGGCUGGAUGACCCAGAGGAAGAUGAAGACGCCAAUAAAGUGCCCAGGGUGUGUCCACGCCGGCGCUAAGUCCACCUCUGCCUGUCCCACCCUUGGGACAUCCCGGGUGUGAAGGAUGCUGAGAUGUAAACAGUGGAGUGGAAAGUGGACAGGGAAGCAAACCUCAGAAGGGUAGCAAAUCAGUUAUCUUGGAGAACGGAUAUGGUCUUAGGAAGCAGAUUAAAAAACUCAAGCAAGAGUUCCAGAAAACCUGGAAGGCACAUAAUUAAAGGUAUUCUGGCCUAGUAUCCCCUAAAGAAUCAGGGAGAGGAGGGGGUACCUGUUAGGUCAAUACAUACACAUAUGCACACACACACAUUCACAGAUCUACACAUCUCUGUAAGCAUGCACAAAAUGUGCACAUGUUAAAAAACCUCAGAAUGCCAGGCAAAUACUUAUCAUCCUGUAAAUAUGCAGAUGUGUGCAAACAAAUAGCCCUGAUGAAACAAUGUGUUAAUGUGUUGGAGGCUUUAGUUUAUAAAACACCUUCCCAUGCAUUCUCUCCUCAUAGCAACCCUGUGAAUAGAAUUUGUCUUAAUAGCUUCCAUGCAGUGAGUGCUUUGUGGGCCAGGCACUAUGCUAAGUGCCUUAAAUGCAUU
Molecule: long non-coding RNA, 782 nt
Organism: Balaenoptera acutorostrata (minke whale)
Lineage: Eukaryota; Metazoa; Chordata; Mammalia; Artiodactyla; Balaenopteridae
Exons: 3
Source: RefSeq, a predicted model, not a curated record